This 301-nucleotide ribosomal RNA is filed under the name uncultured bacterium. RNAcentral describes it as "partial 16S ribosomal RNA". It matches the Rfam family "Bacterial small subunit ribosomal RNA", at positions 509 to 809 of the family's 1533-position model. The record is from RNAcentral.
CAGUCGCCGCGGUAAUACGGAGGGUGCAAGCGUUAUCCGGAUUUAUUGGGUUUAAAGGGUCCGUAGGCGGAUCUGUAAGUCAGUGGUGAAAUCUCACAGCUUAACUGUGAAACUGCCAUUGAUACUGCAGGUCUUGAGUAAAUUUGAAGUGGCUGGAAUAAGUAGUGUAGCGGUGAAAUGCAUAGAUAUUACUUAGAACACCAAUUGCGAAGGCAGGUCACUAAGAUUUAACUGACGCUGAUGGACGAAAGCGUGGGGAGCGAACAGGAUUAGAUACCCCUGUAGUCCCUGUCUCUUAUCC